GGGGCUAUAGCUCAGGUGGAUAGAGCAGCGGAUUCCUAAUCCGGAGGUCAGAGGUUCGAGUCCUCUUAGCCCCGCCA
Molecule: transfer RNA, 77 nt
Filed under: Acidobacteriota bacterium
Lineage: Bacteria; Pseudomonadati; Acidobacteriota
Description: tRNA-Arg
Rfam family: tRNA
About the family: Transfer RNA (tRNA) molecules are approximately 80 nucleotides in length. Their secondary structure includes four short double-helical elements and three loops (D, anti-codon, and T loops). Further hydrogen bonds mediate the characteristic L-shaped molecular structure. tRNAs have two regions of fundamental functional importance: the anti-codon, which is responsible for specific mRNA codon recognition, and the 3' end, to which the tRNAs corresponding amino acid is attached (by aminoacyl-tRNA synthetases). tRNAs cope with the degeneracy of the genetic code in two manners: having more than one tRNA (with a specific anti-codon) for a particular amino acid; and 'wobble' base-pairing, i.e. permitting non-standard base-pairing at the 3rd anti-codon position.
Source: RNAcentral